This 659-nucleotide small RNA is filed under the name Arabidopsis thaliana (thale cress). RNAcentral's name for it is "ATSL027760". The record is from RNAcentral. Lineage: Eukaryota; Viridiplantae; Streptophyta; Magnoliopsida; Brassicales; Brassicaceae.
UACCUAUUCAUCAAUGAAUCCUUGCAUAUCUUCCUUAUUGGAAUCAGGUUCCUCAAUAGUGUUAACAGCAAAAGAAACAUUUUUCUUCGGCUUUGAAGGUUUUCUUCUUCCGCCGAAAGCAGUGGUAUGUACUCCAGGGACAUCCAAAUCUUCCUCUUUGGAAUUACAGCCAACAGAAAGUGCAGGAGUGUCCACAUCAUGAGAAACACGAGUCAGCCUUGAAGACUUUCUCGUUCCAGUGCUUCCUUUUGUAGACAUCCUUCUCGAUGGCUUCUUCGCAGUAACCGGUGCCUUAUCCAUAGAAGUAGGUGGUUCCCGCGAAUCAUGGGAAGGUAUGGUUUGUUCUGGCCUUUUGCCUUUUGGAUCAAGGGCAGCACGUAUCUGGUCACGGACAAAGUCUUUCAUAUCUUCAUGCAUUUGAUACAUUUGGUCUUCCAGCUCCUUCAAAGACCUCCUCAUUUCAACAAUAAACCUCUCAGGCACAGGCUCUCCAAAACAAUCCUCAGCAGUCUCUUCUUUAUCACAGUCCAUUUCAGAUUUCUGUUUUUUCAUAGCAGGUUCUUUAGGGCUCGGGCCCGGUGCAUUUCGUUUCCUCUUAACAUCUACAAUAGACCAGUUGCUGCUAUUAAUUGGUUUUCUUCUAGGUGCAAUACCAAAAA